UGACCGCUGGCGGUAGGCCUACCACAUGCACGUCGCACGGCAGCACAGUAAGAGCUUGCUCUUACGGGUGGCGAGUGGCGGACGGGUGAGGAAUACAUCGGAAUCUACUUUUUCGUGGGGGAUAACGUAGGGAAACUUACGCUAAUACCGCAUACGACCUACGGGUGAAAGCAGGGGAUCUUCGGACCUUGCGCGAUUGAAUGAGCCGAUGUCGGAUUAGCUAGUUGGCGGGGUAAAGGCCCACCAAGGCGACGAUCCGUAGCUGGUCUGAGAGGAUGAUCAGCCACACUGGAACUGAGACACGGUCCAGACUCCUACGGGAGGCAGCAGUGGGGAAUAUUGGACAAUGGGCGCAAGCCUGAUCCAGCCAUACCGCGUGGGUGAAGAAGGCCUUCGGGUUGUAAAGCCCUUUUGUUGGGAAAGAAAAGCAGCAGGUUAAUACCCCGCUGUUCUGACGGUACCCAAAGAAUAAGCACCGGCUAACUUCGUG
This 490-nucleotide ribosomal RNA is filed under the name uncultured bacterium. RNAcentral's name for it is "partial 16S ribosomal RNA". It matches the Rfam family "Bacterial small subunit ribosomal RNA", at positions 30 to 507 of the family's 1533-position model. The record is from RNAcentral.